Molecule: long non-coding RNA, 2406 nt
Organism: Antechinus flavipes (yellow-footed antechinus)
Lineage: Eukaryota; Metazoa; Chordata; Mammalia; Dasyuromorphia; Dasyuridae
Exons: 6
Source: RefSeq, a predicted model, not a curated record
UACUUUGCGUGGGGAGGUAAAGUCCCUCUCCCUCCUCCCAGUGUUCUCCGACAAGCGAGGGAGUGACUCAUUUGGUCUUUCUUUAAGGAGAGGAGAUUUCCAGAGUAAAAUGAUUGGACAGUGAGAUGGAAACCAAUCAUAAAACUUUUUUUUUCCUCUUUCUUUCGUGAGGUAAAUGUUGAUUUCCGGACUGAAUCAGCAGCACCCAACCUCUGCUGGCAGGUGGAUGACCGAGAGUAACCUCUGCGUAGCCUCAGUCAGCGGCAACCACCCUCCCGCCUCCUUAGCACAAAAGACAGCCGCAACGCAGAGCAGCUCAGCGCACAGCCUGAAGCUCUGCAGCCAGUUUGGGGGAGCAAGCAACGGCUGUGGUCCCUGACCCCAGCCCCCUCCGUCCUCGCCAAGAUCGAGGAGGGAGCAGACCUGCGGAAGCAAAGCUACAACAAGAAAAGGACAGAACCUGUCAUGAAGUACCAAUGGCCUAUCCAAGGAGUCCGAGCAAUUGAUUUCAAUGAAAUUUACAACACAUAUUUAUUAAGUUUCUACUAUAUAUAAGAUACCAUGCUGGAUUAUGAAGAUAUAAAGACAAACAUGAAACAAUCCAUGCUCUCCAGUAUGCUGCAUUCACACCUUGGCAGAUGGGGAAGGACCAUGUACACAAAUCUCCUCUGAAGCACCAGGUGGGAGUAAACUAAACAGAACAAACAAAGAAGAAGAAAAGAAAACAAAGAAAAAGUAAAAAGAUGAGAAAACAACAACACUAACUGCAAUGUUCCACCAUUUUAUGAUACAUUGCAUAUGGCAUGGCAUUGAAACUUCAACAUUUCCAUCUGAGGAAGUAAUUCUUUGCAAAUCCAGGGACUUCAGAGCAUAACCAUUUACCAGCCUGUAGUACUAUGCUGAGAGGUCAAUGAGGAGCAAAGAAAAAGGAAGAAGUGGAAUCACUUAUGGAUGCUCAAUUUUUUAAAAGAGUUGGCUCCCCACUAUCAAAGAGGUUUAUCUGCAUUCCUUCUUGGGAAAGGUGUAGUAUGCACAAGCUAAACUGAUGUGUUUUGGCAAGAUAAGUUUCUUUGGAAAUCUAGGUGAAUUUUCUGCUGCUUCUGCAUUUUCCUUUACAGAAAAGUUAUUGUGUUCCAUUGUACCUAUCACUGAAUAUGAGAGAACAUGACAGAUUUCAAAUGUGGUACGUAUGCAAACUAUUUUCCUUUAACAGAUUUAAAACUAGAUUAGUAAAACAAAAAUUUUGUUUUAUUCCAAUUAUACCUGUAUAUUAACUUUUUAAUACACAUUUCUUUAUGAAUCUUUAUGGGAGAAAAAAAUCAAAAUAAAAGGGAAAAACCAUAAGAGGAAAAAAAAAACAGAAAAAAAUGAACAUAGUAUGUAUUGAUUUACAUUGUCUCUACAAUUCUCUUUCUGAAUGCGGAUGGUAUUUUCUAUUCAAAAUUUAACUUCUAACAAAUUUUAAAAGCAAAUGGAAGACCCUAUAAAUGGUGAUGUUUCUGUCAGUACUGCAGUCAAUAGAAGCUGUGUUAUAUGUUUUUCCUUUGGUCCAGAACUGAUGUUAUUGCUGUAAGGCUCUCCUCCUGAGGAAACUCUCUCCUCUACUAAUGCAGAAUUGCAAUUUAUAGAAUGGGAGAGAUUCCUGAGGGCACUGAGAGGUUAAGGAAGUUAAAUGACUUGUCCAGGAUCACAAGGACCAGUAUGUCAGAAGCCAGACUUGAGUUCAUACGUUUUGGACUUUGAGAUCAGUUUUCCAUCCACUACCCACUACUGCCUUUUAUAUUACAGGGCUCCGAGCAGCAAAUAAGAGGUGGUAUACAGUACAAUAUACAAUAAAAUACACAAUAAAAAAUACUAAUAAGUAAAUACAAUAAAAACACAUACAAUAAAAAAUACUAAUUCUGGAGCCAAAAAGGCCUGGGUUCAAAUCUUUUCUUUGCUGCUUACUGCCACGGUUAUUUAGUCACUAAACUUUCCUGGGCCUCAGUUUUCUUAUCUGUAAAAUGAAGUUACAUUAAAAAGGGCCUUUUCAGCUACGUAUAUGUAUGAAUCAAUGUUUAUUAUACAUUGUAUAGGACUUUGUGAAAAGUCUUGGGGUGGUGGAGAGAGGCACAUGUAAUCUAAUGGAGGAAAUAAGACUCUUACAGAGAUAACUAUAACAUAAGGCAGAAUGGACUAGGUAACAUUUGAAUAGUGCAAAGUUCAUUAGAUCUUCAAAGGAAGGAAAGAGCCCUCUUAGAGAACUCACUUUCAAGCAAAACUGAAAGUUCACAUAUAGCACUGGUUAUAAUUAAUUGUUGUUAUUAAAAAAAAACACAAUCAUGGAAGUAAUUAAAAUCAUGUGGUAAUAAUAUUGAAAUGAAUCAGGAACUAAUCCCAAAUUCUAAUUCAGAGUGCAAUAUUUCA